UGGGGAAUAUUGGACAAUGGGGGCAACCCUGAUCCAGCAAUGCCGCGUGAGUGAAGAAGGCCUUCGGGUUGUAAAACUCUUUUGUUAGGGACGAUGAUGACGGUACCUAACGAAUAAGCCCCGGCUAACUUCGUGCCAGCAGCCGCGGUAAUACGAAGGGGGCUAGCGUUGUUCGGAAUGACUGGGCGUAAAGGGUGUGUAGGCGGUUAUAAACGUCAGAUGUGAAAUCCCCGGGCUUAACCUGGGAACGGCAUUUGAUACGGUAUAGCUAGAGAUUGGUAGAGGGUAGUGGAAUUGCGAGUGUAGAGGUGAAAUUCGUAGAGAUUCGCAGGAACACCGGUGGCGAAGGCGGCUACCUGGGCCAAUACUGACGCUGAGGCACGAAAGCGUGGGGAGCAAACAGG
RNAcentral lists this ribosomal RNA (404 nucleotides) under uncultured bacterium. RNAcentral's name for it is "bacterial SSU rRNA". It matches the Rfam family "Bacterial small subunit ribosomal RNA", at positions 355 to 776 of the family's 1533-position model. The record is from RNAcentral.